UACGUAGGGGGCGAGCGUUGUCCGGAUUUAUUGGGCGUAAAGAGCUCGUAGGCGGUUUGGCAAGUCGGGUGUGAAAACUCCGGGCUCAACUCGGAGACGCCACUCGAUACUGCCAUGACUCGAGUCCGGUAGGGGAGUGCGGAAUUCCUGGUGUAGCGGUGAAAUGCGCAGAUAUCAGGAGGAACACCGGUGGCGAAGGCGGCACUCUGGGCCGGUACUGACGCUGAGGAGCGAAAGCGUGGGGAGCGAACAGG
RNAcentral lists this non-coding RNA (254 nucleotides) under Aciditerrimonas sp. RNAcentral's name for it is "partial 16S ribosomal RNA". It matches the Rfam family "Bacterial small subunit ribosomal RNA", at positions 524 to 776 of the family's 1533-position model. RNAcentral also lists the same sequence under 4 other names. The record is from RNAcentral. Lineage: Bacteria; Bacillati; Actinomycetota; Acidimicrobiia; Acidimicrobiales; Acidimicrobiaceae.